CAUCCUCCCCCAGGGUCUCUUCCACUCCUCCUCCUGCUCCUGGCUCUCUCCAGCUUCUGAACCGAGUGUGCAUGUGCUUCUUGCUGAAGGUGAUGAGGAGGCUGGGGAGAGAGCCCAUUAAAAUCCAGACGUUUUGCCUGCACAGCCCUAAACACCUGGACCUGGGGAAGCAGAGAAACAGGCUGAUUUUCUAGCAUAUCCAGCUAUUUCUCAUCCUGUGAGCACCCCUCUCUUCUCCGUCCUCCGGAAAAUCCAUUUGUCCAGAGGACGUGCACUCUGCCCGCGACGCAGCCCGCGCCUCCGUUCUCUCCCGACUUCUGCUCAGAUCCGGCUGAGCACAUCCACACAAAAGGGACAAGAGCUCUGCUUCUGUGGAACCAGCUCGGCACAGACCUUCUUCCCACGGGAUUGCCUGGGGUUGCCUAGCAAUCUGACACCACCCUGCCGCAGCAGACCCACGGUUUGGAUGGAUUCUUCCUAUUUUUAAUUUGUUCUCUGGAUCUCGCGUGCCCUCCACAGCGAUUCAGCGCUCCGCAGUGUCCCUCAGGGCUUGGACUGCAGCCCAGGGAGGAGGCCCUGUGUGCGGGACAGCAGUCAGCCAGCCUGGACGGUGGUGGGGAAACACCAGGUGUGCGUGGCAGCUCACCAGAGCCACCCUCCUGUUUGCCAGCGUAGACCAAGUCGCUUCAGAGGGCUGAAACCGGUGUUUCCAGGACAUACCAGUGGCGCUGUACAGAGAGAGGAGUAGAAAGUCCAACCAACCUGGCCCAAGUGCAGAGAAGAACCUGGAAGAGUUUCUUUUGUUGUCCAAAGGGCAGAAGGCAUUCCACCGAUGACCGCUCUCAUCUGGACAGCCACCUCCCGCCAUCCCUCUGUCCCAUCCUUGGACCUACCCUCUCUCUUGCUGGAUCACUGCUUCAGCUAGUCCUAUUGCCUGAUUUCAUGCUUUCCUCCCUUGUUUUGUUGGAGCACAUCCUGUAGCAAAUGAAAAAUGGUGUUUGGGAAAUCAUUCUUUAGGGACCUCACUUGUGCAAAUGUCUUCACUGUAGUCUCCUGUUGGACGGCUACUUUGGUGAAGUAGGACCAGAAAUCAUCAUCUGCCAGCCCGCUGAAGGCACCCCUUCGCUGUCAUGAGCUUGGCUUGCUGCUGUCGCGAAUUCAGGCGCGGUUCUCAUUCCUGGAAACCUGGGGAACUCUUUCGUUUCUCAUGAUACUAGGUGGGUUGGUUUCCAACCCUUGUGGGGAGAAUCUGAAAACUCAUUUCCUGGAAGAUUUCUUGAAUUAAGUGAUUUGUGAUUCCCUCUUUGCUCGCGCUCUCUCUGCAGGGAGGAGUCCUCGGUGGGGCUCCCGUCAACAGGUCACCCACCUUCCCCCCUUUCUCACCCCUCCCCUCUCUGUCUCUUUCCCUGCUGCUGGGACUCUCUUCUGCUUUGAUCUUUCCCGUCUGCUGAGGUUUUGGUGUGUGUGUUUGGUCCUCAUGCCUUAGUUUCCCAGCCCUUCUGGUUCUCUAAAUGUUCUCCUUACAAUAGCUUCUGCUCUUGGUUCUGGGGUGCACUAUCUCCUCGGAUCUCUUUGAGGAUAUUAAAUGUGGCUACUUCUGACA
Ictidomys tridecemlineatus (thirteen-lined ground squirrel) is the source of this 1603-nucleotide long non-coding RNA. RefSeq lists it as uncharacterized. The record is from RefSeq and is a predicted model, not a curated record. Lineage: Eukaryota; Metazoa; Chordata; Mammalia; Rodentia; Sciuridae.